RNAcentral lists this transfer RNA (75 nucleotides) under Crassvirales sp. RNAcentral describes it as "tRNA-Gly". It matches the Rfam family "tRNA". From Rfam's summary of the family: Transfer RNA (tRNA) molecules are approximately 80 nucleotides in length. The record is from RNAcentral. Lineage: Duplodnaviria; Heunggongvirae; Uroviricota; Caudoviricetes; Crassvirales.
GUAGAUAUGGUGUUAGUGGUUAGCAUAUGACAUUGCCAAUGUCAAGGGGUUAGUUCAAGUCUAAUUAUCUACUCA